This 2140-nucleotide ribosomal RNA is filed under the name Vexillifera bacillipedes. Its description in RNAcentral is "partial 18S ribosomal RNA". It matches the Rfam family "Eukaryotic small subunit ribosomal RNA". The record is from RNAcentral. Lineage: Eukaryota; Discosea; Flabellinia; Dactylopodida; Vexilliferidae.
ACCUGGUUGAUCCUGCCAGGUGUCAUAUGCUUGUGUAAAAGAUUGAGCCAUGCACAUUGUAAGAGAGAAUAUGAAUAGACAAUUCUUUUUUGUAAAGAAGAGAAAGUGUACUAUGAGAUUGUGAACGGCUCAUUAAAUCAGCAGUAAUUUAAUCGGUGGAUGAAAGAGAUUUUGGAGACGGAAUAACUUGAAUUGGGAAAUCUAUAGCUAAUACGUGUAAAGAAAUGCAAUUUGUUAUCGUUUUUUUUUGGAUGAAUGAGUUGUAGCGCAUAUUAGAUAGAAAAUUUACAAAAGAAAAGAAGGUUUUUUUUUGAUUAAUAAUAUUCCAAGUAGAUCGUAAAAUUCUUUAAGCAAUUAAGGGAGAGACGAUAAACCGAUGAAAUUUCUGCCCUAUCAACUUUGGAUGGUAGUAUAGGGGACUACCAUGGUAAUAACGGGUAACGGACAAUUAGGGUUGGAUACCGGAGAGGGCGCAUGAGAAAUGGCGACUAUGUCCAAGGAUAGCAGCAGGCGCGUAAAUUACCCAAUCCUGUAGACAGGGAGGUAGUGACAACAAAUAAGCGAGACCAGUGAUAUGACCUUCGGGAAGUAUUGGGUUUGUAACGAAAAUGAGAACAAUAACAAAUCCCUUAUCGAGUAGCAAUUAGAGGGCAAGCUCUGGUGCCAGCAGCCGCGGUAACUCCAGCAUCUAAAAGUGUAUACGAAUGUUGUUGCAGUUAAAACGCUCGUAGUUGGAAAUGAACAUUUGAUUUUGGAGAAGAUAAAUCCUUCUAGGAGAUAUCUUCUUGAAGUUAAAUAUUUAAAUUUUUUAUUAUUUUUGUACUUGUAAGAGUAAGAAAUGAUAAUAAUUUACUUUGAAUAAAUUAGAGUGCUUCAAGCGAUUGGAAGAAUAGAUUGUAAGAUUUAUUCUUUACUUUAAUCGAUUGAAUAAGAAAGCAUGGGAUAAUAGAAAAGGAUUUGAAAGAACUAAAAAGAAUUGACCUUUUUUUCAAUAGAAGAGUGGUUGUUUUAAAUAAUGAUAAAUAGGAACGGUUGGGGGUAUUUGUAUUGAAUAGUCAGAGGUGAAAUUCAAGGAUUUGUUCAAGACAAGCAUCAGCGAAAGCAUUUACCAAGGACGUGUCCAUUAAUCAAGAACGAAAGCUUGGGGAUCGAAGAUGAUCAGAUACCGUCGUAGUCCAAUGCCAUAAACGAUGCCGACCAAAGAUGAGAGGCAACAGUAAAUAAGUUUUAUUAUCUAUUAGUUGAAGAAGGAGAUGAUCUGUAAAGUGAGUUUUUUUCUUGAAUUAAAAUGUAAUAAAACAAUUCUUAAUAAUCGACUCCUUUUGAAUUUUCUCGGGAAACCAAUUGAGUGCUUGGGUUCUGGGGGGAGUACGGUAUCCGCAAGGCUGAAACUUGAAGGAAUUGACGGAAGGGCACCACCAGGUGUGGAAUCUGCGGCUUAAUUCGACUCAACACGGGAAAACUUACCAGGUCCGGACACAGUGAGGAUUGACAGAUUGAAGUUCUUUCUUGAUUUUGUGGUUGGUGGUGCAUGGCCGUUCUUAGUUCGUGGAUGUGAUCUGUCUGCUUAAUUGCGAUAACGAACGAGACCUUAGUUUAUUAAUUAGUCAAUAUGAGAGUCCUAUUCUCAUUAUUGGAAAUUAUUCUCUCGAGAACAAUUUCAUUUUUACUUCUUAAAAAGACAAUGUUCAAUUUAUUUAAAAAUACAAGGAAGUUUUCGGCAAUAACAGGUCUGUGAUGCCCUUUAGAUGUUCUGGGCUGCACGCGCGUUACACUGAAAGUUGCAGUAAGUAUUUAGAAAUCAUAAUCAAGUCAGCUUGUCUGAUUUGUUUAAGAUUUUUGCCUGAAUUGAAGAAUUUGGGAAAACUGUAAUCAAAGACUUUCGUGAUGGGGAUUGAUAAUUGUAAGUAUUUAUCAUAAACGAGGAAUACCUAGUAAACGCAAGUCAUCAACUUGCAUUGAUUACGUCCCUGCCCUUUGUACACACCGCCCGUCGCUCCUACCGAUGAAUAGUCCGGUGAAAUAUUGGGACUUGAUUCAACGAGGUUUAUUCUUCCACGAAAUGAGAAACAUUAUUCAACCUUAUUAUUUAGAGGAAGGAGAAGUCGUAACAAGGUAUCCGUAGGUGAACCUGCGGAAG